GCAAAUUGAAGCUCAAUUUAUCCCCUUCAAAAUGAUGUUUAUCAAAUUUGAUUCUGUUGAUUUUUGACCGAGUUAUCGAACUUUUAGUGUGGGUAAAAAUUUCGACCAGUGAACCCAAACUUUUGAACGGAAGUGUACAUUUCCAUUAUCAGAUGUAUUGCUAUGACAACGUCGGCCUUUUUUUUGACACAGCAGAAAUGGCCUCUCACGCAAUUGCUACACUUUUGACCGCUACUACCCGUCUAGUCGGGUUCAGAAUAAUAUAAUCUAACGAUUCAAUACAGUUUUAGCCGUAUUGUUGUCGCACAUGGUUUAGGUCGUAGGCUCUCUAACUAUAGCUGCACCAGCACGGAUUCUGGAUAACAUAUCGCUAUUAUAUGCAAUAACGAUAUAAUGCAUUAUAUCGUUUUUUGGCGUAGAAACCGCAACAAAUCUCCAAACUGAAGCCACCUCCUUGCAGAAUUUAGGGAACAAUCAAGAGACUCGGUAGAGUCUCAGGACAAGUACAUUGACAGCUCUGUCGUCUCCUGGCCUGAUUUCAUUAUCCGAAGACACGUCAUUGGGAGCUUUUCAGCAAGUGACAACGAGUGACGAAGUGGGUGCUUUCCAAUUAGAGUGCAUACUUCAGCUUUAUGGAAAAGAAACUUUUGUUGGGCGACGAAACUUACACAGCCACACAAAAAUCGAUUUUCAGGUUCGAGAAUGAAACUGUCUGUUUAAACCCAGCAGGUCAGGUUCAAGGUUAUUACAAGGUCAAAUUGAGAAAAACCGU
Venturia canescens is the source of this 772-nucleotide long non-coding RNA. RefSeq lists it as uncharacterized. Lineage: Eukaryota; Metazoa; Arthropoda; Insecta; Hymenoptera; Ichneumonidae. The record is from RefSeq and is a predicted model, not a curated record. The transcript is spliced from 3 exons.